RNAcentral lists this long non-coding RNA (312 nucleotides) under Rosa chinensis. Its description in RNAcentral is "sRNA RchiOBHm_Chr5g0024341". Lineage: Eukaryota; Viridiplantae; Streptophyta; Magnoliopsida; Rosales; Rosaceae. The record is from RNAcentral.
UGGAUUCGAAGCCUUCGCCGGCAGCUAAGUUGAAGAGUCUGUUGCCGCCACAGCCGCCGCCGUCAAAUCCUCUCAAACAGAAGCUUGGGAAAGACUGGGUAUUCACAUUUUUUCAACCUUUCAAGAGAGACAACUCUCAGGCCAAGCAGUCUAGCAUUUUCGAACUCUCGCGCCGAGUUUGCUUAAGCUGUUCUUUGUUGCAGCGCGGUGCUUUCUCAUUUUUGCUUGGCAUACUUGAUCAUAUUGCUUUGUCUGCUGGUAUUCGGGAUCAUUGCUGGUGCUAUUCACAUGCCUAUCCUGGCAUAUUGGUGA